CAGCGCCGCGGUAAUACGAAGGGGGCUAGCGUUGUUCGGAAUUACUGGGCGUAAAGCGCACGUAGGCGGAUAUUUAAGUCAGGGGUGAAAUCCCGCAGCUCAACUGCGGAACUGCCUUUGAUACUGGGUAUCUUGAGUAUGGAAGAGGUUAGUGGAAUUGCGAGUGUAGAGGUGAAAUUCGUAGAUAUUCGCAGGAACACCAGUGGCGAAGGCGACUGACUGGACAAGUAUUGACGCUGAGGUGCGAAAGCGUGGGGAGCAAACAGGAUUAGAUACCCCUGUAGUCCCUGUCUCUUAUACA
This 301-nucleotide ribosomal RNA is filed under the name uncultured bacterium. RNAcentral describes it as "partial 16S ribosomal RNA". It matches the Rfam family "Bacterial small subunit ribosomal RNA", at positions 509 to 808 of the family's 1533-position model. The record is from RNAcentral.